GACGAACGCUGGCGGCGUGCCUAAUACAUGCAAGUUGAGCGCUGAAGGUUGGUACUUGUACCAACUGGAUGAGCAGCGCACGGGUGAGUAACGCGUGGGGAAUCUGCCUUUGAGCGGGGGACAACAUUUGGAAACGAAUGCUAAUACCGCAUAAAAACUUUAAACACAAGUUUUAAGUUUGAAAGAUGCAAUUGCAUCACUCAAAGAUGAUCCCGCGUUGUAUUAGCUAGUUGGUGAGGUAAAGGCUCACCAAGGCGAUGAUACAUAGCCGACCUGAGAGGGUGAUCGGCCACAUUGGGACUGAGACACGGCCCAAACUCCUACGGGAGGCAGCAGUAGGGAAUCUUCGGCAAUGGACGAAAGUCUGACCGAGCAACGCCGCGGGAGUGAAGAAGGUUUUCGGAUCGUAAAGCUCUGUUGGUAGAGAAGAACGUUGGUGAGAGUGGAAAGCUCAUCAAGCGACGGUAACUACCCAGAAAGGGACGGCUAACUACGUG
This 497-nucleotide ribosomal RNA is filed under the name uncultured bacterium. RNAcentral describes it as "partial 16S ribosomal RNA". It matches the Rfam family "Bacterial small subunit ribosomal RNA", at positions 28 to 507 of the family's 1533-position model. The record is from RNAcentral.